GACGAACGCUGGCGGCGUGCUUAACACAUGCAAGUCGAACGGUGAAGGGAUCAGCUUGCUGGUUCUGGAUGAGUGGCGCACGGGUGAGUAACACGUGAGUAACCUGCCCCCUUCUUCUGGAUAACCGCAUGAAAGUGUGGCUAAUACGGGAUAUUCUGCGCCUGCUGCAUGGUGGGUGUGGGAAAGAUAUUGUUUCGGUUGGGGAUGGGCUCUCGGCCUAUCAGCUUGUUGGUGGGGUGAUGGCCUACCAUGGCGGUGACGGGUAGCCGGCCUGAGAGGGGGGACGGUCACAGAGGGACUGAGACAAGGCCCAGACUGAGACGGGAGGCAGAAGUGGGGAAGAGUGAACAAUGGGGGAAAGCCUGAUGCAGCGACGCCGCGUGAGGGAUGGAGGCCUGCGGGGUGUGAACCUCUUUCGCCAGUGAAGCAGGCCUGUCCCUUGUGGGUGGGUUGACGGUAGAUGGAUAAGAAGCGCCGGCUAAAUACGUG
This 489-nucleotide ribosomal RNA is filed under the name uncultured bacterium. RNAcentral's name for it is "partial 16S ribosomal RNA". It matches the Rfam family "Bacterial small subunit ribosomal RNA", at positions 28 to 507 of the family's 1533-position model. The record is from RNAcentral.